GAGGCAUCUUGUAGCUGGUGUGCCUCAGGGGUGGGGCCCUGCUGCUGGGUUGCUAUGGAAACAGGGACUCUCUAUGGGCAGGUCCCAGGAGUGGGGUCUUGCUGUGGCCAGUCCCAGGACAGGGCCUCACUACUAGCCAGCAAUGGGGUCAAGAUUACCCUGGUGGCUUGUGCUGAGCGGGAGGCCUCUCUGAACCCAACACACUGCUCACUUGCCUAGGGAGCGCUGUUGUGAAGCUGGCUGCAGCAGCUGCUCUCUACCUCUAUCUCCUCCCACCCCAGUGAGACAGACCUUUCCUGCUAUGCUGACCAAAUUUCUAUAAUCAAGGAAGGUGGUCAGAAGCACAAUGAAAUUAUAUUUUAUUAGGAACAUCUAAGGAAUCUCUACAAGUAACUUGGAACCAGAAAAGCAAAUCUACUGAAAAGGAGUCUCCUGCAGUGCUACCAUGAGAAUAGGACCUGUUCUGGAAUGUUCAAGACACUUGGUGUUUCCAGAGACCAGACAACUACGUGGGCCAUCUGAACCCAAAAUGAAAUGUGUUGCUGAAAUGGACAUUAGGAAUGGGUUACUAAAAUGCAAGGAGACUUGACAUUAGUUAAUGUUGAUGGGCAUUAUUAUUGUAUUACUUUGGCUUUCUGUUUCACAGAUGUAUAUGGAUAUAUACUGAGAUAUCUUGGGGUCACAUAAAUUUACCCUCUAUAAUUUAGUCUUGGUCUUAGAUAUUCUUACUAUGGCUUGUGCUAUGAUUAAUCAGUCUUGUUCUUACAUUAACUGGUCAGGGGAAAUUGUGACAAGUCUCUCACUGACAAAAAGAGGGAAACUGAGAAAAUCAAAUUAUUCUAAUCCCAUUUUGUAACUGAUUCUAUUCUGCAUCACCCCCAAUCUGUUGUAAAAAUUGCCUAAGCCAAUGUUUCUUUGUCUCUGAACUUAGUUCAGGAAUUUAGCCACCCUGUAAUAAAUCAAGUUCAGAAAUCCAGUUC
Non-coding RNA from Phascolarctos cinereus (koala), 980 nucleotides. NCBI's taxonomy places the organism in Eukaryota, Metazoa, Chordata, Mammalia, Diprotodontia, Phascolarctidae. The record is from RefSeq and is a predicted model, not a curated record.